This 522-nucleotide ribosomal RNA is filed under the name uncultured bacterium. RNAcentral's name for it is "bacterial SSU rRNA". It matches the Rfam family "Bacterial small subunit ribosomal RNA", at positions 9 to 524 of the family's 1533-position model. The record is from RNAcentral.
GAGUUUGAUCGUGGCUCAGGAUGAACGCUAGCGGCAGGCUUAAUACAUGCAAGUCGAGGGGCAGCGGGGGUAGCAAUACCCGCCGGCGACCGGCAAACGGGUGCGGAACACGUACGCAACCUUCCUUUAACUGGAGAAUAGCCCCUCGAAAGAGGGAUUAAUACUCCGUAACAUAUUUUUAAGGCAUCUUAUGAAUAUUAUAGCCCUCGGGCGGUUGAAGAUGGGCGUGCGCCUGAUUAGAUAGUUGGUGAGGUAACGGCCCACCAAGUCUGCGAUCAGUAACUGGUGUGAGAGCACGACCAGUCACACGGGCACUGAGACACGGGCCCGACUCCUACGGGAGGCAGCAGUAAGGAAUAUUGGUCAAUGGACGAAAGUCUGAACCAGCCAUGCCGCGUGGAGGAUUAAGGCCCUCUGGGUUGUAAACUCCUUUUAUCUGGGAAGAAAUGCCAUUUUUCUAAAUGGUUUGACGGUACCAGAGGAAUAAGCACCGGCUAACUCCGUGCCAGCCGCCGCAGUAAG